Molecule: ribosomal RNA, 816 nt
Filed under: uncultured bacterium
Lineage: Bacteria
Description: bacterial SSU rRNA
Rfam family: Bacterial small subunit ribosomal RNA
Source: RNAcentral
AGUCGAACGAGCGAGAGAGAGCUUGCUUUCUCGAGCGAGUGGCGAACGGGAGAGUAACGCGUGAGGAACCUGCCUCAAAGAGGGGGACAACAGUUGGAAACGACUGCUAAUACCGCAUAAGCCCACGGGUCGGCAUCGACCAGAGGGAAAAGGAGUGAUCCGCUUUGAGAUGGCCUCGCGUCCGAUUAGCUAGUUGGUGAGGUAACGGCCCACCAAGGCGACGAUCGGUAGCCGGACUGAGAGGUUGAACGGCCACAUUGGGACUGAGACACGGCCCAGACUCCUACGGGAGGCAGCAGUGGGGAAUAUUGCACAAUGGGGGAAACCCUGAUGCAGCGACGCCGCGUGGAGGAAGAAGGUCUUCGGAUUGUAAACUCCUGUUGUUGGGGAAGAUAAUGACGGUACCCAACAAGGAAGUGACGGCUAACUACGUGCCAGCAGCCGCGGUAAAACGUAGGUCACAAGCGUUGUCCGGAAUUACUGGGUGUAAAGGGAGCGCAGGCGGGAAGACAAGUUGGAAGUGAAAUCCAUGGGCUCAACCCAUGAACUGCUUUCAAAACUGUUUUUCUUGAGUAGUGCAGAGGUAGGCGGAAUUCCCGGUGUAGCGGUGGAAUGCGUAGAUAUCGGGAGGAACACCAGUGGCGAAGGCGGCCUACUGGGCACCAACUGACGCUGAGGCUCGAAAGUGUGGGUAGCAAACAGGAUUAGAUACCCUGGUAGUCCACACCGUAAACGAUGAUUACUAGGUGUUGGAGGAUUGACCCCUUCAGUGCCGCAGUUAACACAAUAAGUAAUCCACCUGGGGAGUACGACCGC